Molecule: ribosomal RNA, 269 nt
Filed under: uncultured bacterium
Lineage: Bacteria
Description: partial 16S ribosomal RNA
Rfam family: Bacterial small subunit ribosomal RNA
Source: RNAcentral
CUAUGCCGGCGACCGGCGACGGGUGCGUAACGCGUAUGUAACCUACCUUUGACAGGGGGAUAACAUCGAGAAAUUGGUACUAAUACCCCAUAACAUCACCGGAGGCAUCUUCGGUGGUUGAAAACUCAGGUGGUCAGAGAUGGACAUGCGUUGUAUUAGCUAGUUGGUGAGGUAACGGCUCACCAAGGCGACGAUACAUAGGGGGACUGAGAGGUCAACCCCCCACAUUGGUACUGAGACACGGACCAAACUCCUACGGGAGGCAGCAG